This 451-nucleotide ribosomal RNA is filed under the name uncultured bacterium. Its description in RNAcentral is "partial 16S ribosomal RNA". It matches the Rfam family "Bacterial small subunit ribosomal RNA", at positions 29 to 523 of the family's 1533-position model. The record is from RNAcentral.
AACGAACGCUGGCGGCAGGCUUAACACAUGCAAGUCGAGCGCGCGCCUUCGGGCGUGAGCGGCGGACGGGUGAGUAACGCGUGGGAACGUGCCCUUUGGUUCGGAAUAGCCCUGGGAAACUGGGAGUAAUGCCGAAUAAGCUCUACGGAGGAAAGAUUUAUCGCCAAAGGAUCGGCCCGCGUUGGAUUAGGUAGUUGGUGGGGUAAUGGCCUACCAAGCCGACGAUCCAUAGCUGGUUUGAGAGGGUGAUCAGCCACACUGGGACUGAGACACGGCCCAGACUCCUACGGGAGGCAGCAGUGGGGAAUCUUGGACAAUGGGGGCAACCCUGAUCCAGCCAUGCCGCGUGAUCGAUGAAGGCCUUAGGGUUGUAAAGAUCUUUCAGCUGGGAAGAUAAUGACGGUACCAGCAGAAGAAGCCCCGGCUAACUCCGUGCCAGCCGCCGCCGUAA